GCUAAACCUAAAAUAAAUGGAGAGGAAAAGUCCAACUAAGAAAAAAAGGAAAAAAAAAAACAAAGAGAAUGUUAGAGAGAAAGAGUACAAACGUGAGAGAGAGAGAGUGAUGACAGAGGACUUCGUGUACAGUGGUGGCCUGCACCAGAGUGGUUCAUAGAGGGGGGUCGUGGUGGUCGGUUAACAAAGGUGCGGACGCUCGAUCGAAGAUGGAAGUUGUGGUGGCAUAAGGUCUGGAAACAGAAGCCGCGAUCCUAUCCCGACGACACAAAAACAAGCAACCUCAAAUAAUUAAGGAAAUAAAUGACUUAUCUUUUUUAUUUUGAUUUAGUGUUCAAAUAGUGAAGAUAUAACCUUAUUAGGAUUAAAAAAAAAAACAUAUUAAAAUGGGAAAUGGAGUUGCUUGCAGACAAAAAUGGAGGAAGGUGUAAGGAAAGUGCGGAAGGAGGAAAGGGCACUGGUGUACUUCUAUUUGUUGUUUUUUUUUUCCGCUAAAUAUAAUGUAAUUGAAAUCCAUAUAAAUACAUACUCAAAAUUUGGAUUAUUUAUAAAACGAAA
Long non-coding RNA from Cicer arietinum (chickpea), 558 nucleotides. RefSeq lists it as uncharacterized. The record is from RefSeq and is a predicted model, not a curated record. Lineage: Eukaryota; Viridiplantae; Streptophyta; Magnoliopsida; Fabales; Fabaceae.